Hydra vulgaris (swiftwater hydra) is the source of this 345-nucleotide non-coding RNA. Lineage: Eukaryota; Metazoa; Cnidaria; Hydrozoa; Anthoathecata; Hydridae. The record is from RefSeq and is a predicted model, not a curated record.
UGUUGAUCAAAUAUUGAUGAUGAAAAUUAAAUAUUGUUGACCUUUUCUUUUUUUUUUGUAAUCUUUAGUUGUGCCCCCUCCUGCUACCACUGCUGUGUCCACUCUUGCUACAACUGAUGUAGCCAAGAAAAACUUACUCCAAAUUGGCAAUCCAUAAAUCAAAAUGACACCAAACGUACCUUCAAUCAAUCAUUUUAAAAUUAAAUAAUUCAGCUUCAACUACAUUUAAAUAAUUUGUAGCAAAGUCUUAAAGUCUUUGAAUGUAACGAAAGCAUCACGGACAGAUAACUUAAACAAUGAUAUUGUGACUUAUCUGAACAAGCAGAGAUUGAAAAAGAGUUAAAU